RNAcentral lists this ribosomal RNA (411 nucleotides) under Triticum aestivum (bread wheat). RNAcentral describes it as "partial small subunit ribosomal RNA". The record is from RNAcentral. Lineage: Eukaryota; Viridiplantae; Streptophyta; Magnoliopsida; Poales; Poaceae.
AUGUCACAUUUCUGGUGGGGUGACGAGGACAAUCCGAGGAGGAUGCAUUGGAUGGGUUGGUGGAAGAUGUGUGUGCCAAAAGAUCAAGGAGAUAUGGGCUUUCGAGACUUACACUGUUUCAACCUGGCUUUGUUGGCUAAACAAGCAUGGCAUCUUCUUGGAAAUCCUAACUCUUUAUGUGCCGCUAUCUUGAGAGCUAAGUACUUCCCUGAUGGUGACCUGAUGAAUGCAAGUUUAAAAAAAGGAUCCACCUUUACAUAGCAAUGCAUUAUGGUGGGAGUCACAUCACUAAAAAAUGGCUAUAUUUGGCGAGUUGAAAAUGGACAAAAUAUCGACAUUUGGAAAGAUGCAUGGAUUCCGAAUUAUGCAAAUAGGAAAAUCAUUACUCCUACUCAUGUCAAAAGUUUCUAA